Vigna angularis (adzuki bean) is the source of this 2521-nucleotide long non-coding RNA. RefSeq lists it as uncharacterized. The record is from RefSeq and is a predicted model, not a curated record. The transcript has 3 exons. Lineage: Eukaryota; Viridiplantae; Streptophyta; Magnoliopsida; Fabales; Fabaceae.
UUUGGCUUAGGUCGCUGCAAACACAAUGAAAGAAAGCCCUAAAAGCAUAACCUCACUCCUCUUAGGGUUGCUGAGAGAGAGGAAUGGAAACAAGCGAAGUGGUUGCGGCUGCGGCGCCGGAGGCAGGGUUGAAGCACAAACUGGAGCGAAAAUGGACGUUUUGGUGCGACAAUCAAUCCAAACCUAAACAGCUUGGGGAACCUCUCUGCGCAGGUCUACACUUUCGACUAUGACGAGUUGGUUCUGCUGGAAACAAGUUGAGAAUGUCACUGAGUCUGCCAGGGGUAGCUGUGGUGAGCUGUGCAGACAACACUGUGGUAGCCUAAGAAUCUUUAUAUCAUAUUGGUGAAAGAAAACAGGCUUUGCCUCAGCAGAAAGCAACAUCAACACCCAAAGCAGACAGAAACUUGCAAUAGAGAUCCAGUGAACGACGGAGUUGUUACCCAGUUGUGUUGUGUUUUAAUCGAUACCUAGAAACGAACAAAUCUGAUGCCAUUUUUUUCUUUUUCUCUGGUUCCAAACUUGUGAUUUUACGUGAGUUGAGAGUGUUUGCUCUAGUUUACGUGAACGUACUAAAAAGAAUCACGUGAGAGUUAAAUAGGUUCGAGGGCAUGACUAAUGCAUUUUUAGUGGCUUUAGAACUUGUUCUUUAAAUGGGAGGAUUCAAAUCAUGCUGGUUGAGCGGCACAUAUCCUAUUAUUCAUGAGGAUAUGUUAGCUUGAUAUAUUUAACCAGCUAGAUCGAUGCAUGCUAUCGAAUAUAUCGAGUUGGAUUUCUCAUGGGAUCUUACUUUUCGCCAUUCGGUACAUUGUUUCAUUCUUUACAAAUUUUUUUCUGUUUUAUGAUGACUAAUGUUCUGUUUUGUUGAUAUUUAUUAUUGAAAGGUAACUUAGCGCAGUUUGGUUUUAUAAAAAAGAAUACUGGUAAUGUAGUGUGAAGAUUUUAAUUGAGGUUUUGAUGCACCUCUUAAGGCCAGUUAUCCUUAUACUCUACCAUACCUUUACCGAGCCCUUUUGUUUAUCAUCUCUGUCAAGGUUUGGGUUUUUUUUUCUUCUAUUUUUCGAUUUUUAUUAUGAAAUUUCUGGUCAUUUGGGAAAUGGAAUGUCCGAAGAGAUACAAUUUAUUAGUGAAGGUUUUGAUAAUACUGAUUAGUUUUGUGGACUUCCUCUCUCUCUCUCUCAUCUUUUUAUCUUUUUAAGGUUUCAAUUAUCUGAUAGAUUGUUUCUAUCUCCAGAUUUUAGUCAGGUAUUCUCCUAAAAAAUAUAAUGGUUGAUACAGUUACAAGUCUGGAAAAUUAAUGUGCCCAUCGUUACAGAUGUGAUAGUCUUCUCGUGCUUACAUCUGCUCCAUUGGGGCUCUACACAUUUGUGGCUGAAUUUUACGUAUUUCUCUGUUACACUAUAUAUUAAAUAUUAUACAAAGACAAAAUAAAUUGUUUUUUAGGGUAUUUUUAGUUUUUGAUUUCUUUACGAACUAAAAUCUUUUUAAAAUCCUAUAUCCUCGUUUAUAAGUUAACAUAUUUCCCUAUAUAAGUCAUACUUUACUCAUUUGCAUUAUUGCCUCCAGACAUUAGUAAGGUAUCCUGCUCAACAAACUAUGGUUGAUACAGUUACAGGUCUGGGAAAUUAAACCGAGUCCAUCGUUACAGAUGUGAUGACCUUUUUGUCAUGCUCACAUCUGCUCCAUUGGGGCUCUACAGGUAUAAGAUCCAUAUACCUCCUCACUUUUAUUGUUAUUCAAUAAUAAUUUGAUUGCUUGUUAUGAUUCUUUUAAUCUGCAAUUUCUAUAUAGCAGAAUGUUUUAGCUAGCUUUGGUGGGGUUUUAAGAAAAAUGGUGGGAGAGAGAUGAGCCCCAAUAGAAACUGCAAUUUCUACAACUUAUUUCCAAGAACCCCUGUUAUAACCGCCAUUGGCCUAAUAUGGGAGAGAGAUGAGCUUCUGGACUAUCAAUUUUCUUAGAGGCAUGGCUCUGGUGUAUUAUUUUCAAUCCUGGGCUUAUGACAUUUUUAUCAAUAUAUUCUCUUAAUACAGUUAUCUAUUUCCAAGAACCCCUGUUAGAACUGCCAUUGGCCUAAUAUGGGAGAGAGACGAGCUUCUGGACUAUCAAUUUUCUUAGAGGCAGGUGACAGGAACACAUUCAUUGUUCACCAAUAUGGCCGAUGGUUUUUAUUGCACUUAAACUAGUGCUUCCUCUGGCUUCCAAUGUUUCCGCAUUUGUAUCUGACUUGGGGAGUGGACAUGUGGCUGAAAAGUGACCAUUUUGAGCAUUUGAUACUUCCACCCAUUUUGUUGCUAGAUUUUUUUUUGGUGAAGAAUCAGUAUGCGUCAUGGCAGUUACCUUGAUUACAUCGAGAUGAGGUUCAAAUAAUGAAACAACUGAUUCUUCACUUAUUUUUUUUUUCAUCGAGAUGAUGCACAUGGUUAAUCUAAAUCUAUUUAAAUUAACUUGCGGUUUGGUCAAAUAGGAUUGAUGACCUAUUUGCUCCAUUAAUAUGCAUCUGAUUCAAAUUGAUUCUUUGAAA